ACAAAUCUGGAAGAUGUCAAAACGAUGCGUUUUAAAGCUAAUAAAACCGUUCCACGGCCCACGGUGCCAUUUUACAGGGCAAAUGUGAAGGCCCAAAUGGCCAUUCCGUUGGAGGAGAUGACACAAAACGCUGCGUUUUGAGCUCUGAUGCUCUCUUCCCUGCUUCUGGGUCCGGCUCUCAGUUUCAGAGUCUCUUGGCUCUCAUUCUCAGUCACCAUCUUCAAUCUCUUACCGAAAAAACCACUAAAAAAGAUUUCAAUUGGAAGUGGAAGAUAUUUAGUCACUCAGUGGGUGCCAUAUAUGGCACGGCAGCAUUUGGUUCUGCAAUUGAGGAUUUCCCCUCGUACUUUAAUAGUUGCAGUCCAAAAACAAAAGGAGAUUCACUCCAGGAGGUACUCAUGGGUAAACUUACAAUCAGUUUGUCUGUAUCAGUAGAUUCCAAACAGUGGGUUCUUGGCCAAUUUGUAUAUAUCGAUGGUUUUCUUAAUUACUGGAUUAGUUGAUCAUCAUUGUUGUUAAAAGAAUAUAGAAUUCUCUUAAACCUUGGAGAAGGUUUCUAUAUUUACUAAAGGUAUAUAUUUUAAGCUUGUCCUAAUC
Molecule: long non-coding RNA, 597 nt
Organism: Vitis riparia (riverbank grape)
Lineage: Eukaryota; Viridiplantae; Streptophyta; Magnoliopsida; Vitales; Vitaceae
Exons: 2
Source: RefSeq, a predicted model, not a curated record